UACGGAGGAUGCGAGCGUUAUCCGGAUUUAUUGGGUUUAAAGGGUGCGUAGGCGGAUCGUUAAGUCAGUGGUCAAAUUGAGGGGCACAACCCCUUCCCGCCAUUGAAACUGGCGCUCUUGAGUGGAAGAGAAGUAUGCGGAAUGCGUGGUGUAGCGGUGAAAUGCAUAGAUAUCACGCAGAACCCCGAUUGCGAAGGCAGCAUGCCGGCUUCCGACUGACGCUGAAGCACGAAAGCGUGGGGAUCGAACAGG
Molecule: ribosomal RNA, 252 nt
Filed under: uncultured bacterium
Lineage: Bacteria
Description: partial 16S ribosomal RNA
Rfam family: Bacterial small subunit ribosomal RNA
Source: RNAcentral